Molecule: ribosomal RNA, 1469 nt
Filed under: Salmonella enterica
Lineage: Bacteria; Pseudomonadati; Pseudomonadota; Gammaproteobacteria; Enterobacterales; Enterobacteriaceae
Description: partial 23S ribosomal RNA
Rfam family: Bacterial large subunit ribosomal RNA
Source: RNAcentral
UGCUGUGAGCUCGAUGAGUAGGGCGGGACACGUGGUAUCCUGUCUGAAUAUGGGGGGACCAUCCUCCAAGGCUAAAUACUCCUGACUGACCGAUAGUGAACCAGUACCGUGAGGGAAAGGCGAAAAGAACCCCGGCGAGGGGAGUGAAAAAGAACCUGAAACCGUGUACGUACAAGCAGUGGGAGCACAGGUUUACCUGUGUGACUGCGUACCUUUUGUAUAAUGGGUCAGCGACUUAUAUUCUGUAGCAAGGUUAACCGUAUAGGGGAGCCGGAGGGAAACCGAGUCUUAACCGGGCGUUAAGUUGCAGGGUAUAGACCCGAAACCCGGUGAUCUAGCCAUGGGCAGGUUGAAGGUUGGGUAACACUAACUGGAGGACCGAACCGACUAAUGUUGAAAAAUUAGCGGAUGACCUGUGGCUGGGGGUGAAAGGCCAAUCAAACCGGGAGAUAGCUGGUUCUCCCCGAAAGCUAUUUAGGUAGCGCCUCGUGAACUCAUCUCCGGGGGUAGAGCACUGUUUCGGCUAGGGGGCCAUCCCGGCUUACCAACCCGAUGCAAACUGCGAAUACCGGAGAAUGUUAUCACGGGAGACACACGGCGGGUGCUAACGUCCGUCGUGAAGAGGGAAACAACCCAGACCGCCAGCUAAGGUCCCAAAGUCAUGGUUAAGUGGGAAACGAUGUGGGAAGGCCCAGACAGCCAGGAUGUUGGCUUAGAAGCAGCCAUCAUUUAAAGAAAGCGUAAUAGCUCACUGGUCGAGUCGGCCUGCGCGGAAGAUGUAACGGGGCUAAACCAUGCACCGAAGCUGCGGCAGCGAACGUAUCACCCAAGACAACUUUGCGGAGUUGACGAUUGACGGAGCGAAGCGACGUCAAAGCGUUCAUUAAAGUCGAGUUGGCUUAGGGAUACGUUCGUUGGGUAGGGGAGCGUUCUGUAAGCCAGUGAAGGUGUGUCGUGAGGCAUGCUGGAGGUAUCAGAAGUGCGAAUGCUGACAUAAGUAACGAUAAAGCGGGUGAAAAGCCCGCUCGCCGGAAGACCAAGGGUUCCUGUCCAACGUUAAUCGGGGCAGGGUGAGUCGACCCCUAAGGCGAGGCCGAAAGGCGUAGUCGAUGGGAAACAGGUUAAUAUUCCUGUACUUGGUGUUACUGCGAAGGGGGGACGGAGAAGGCUAUGUUGGCCGGGCGACGGUUGUCCCGGUUUAAGCGUGUAGGUGUGUGUUCCAGGUAAAUCCGGUUCACUUUAACACUGAGGCGUGAUGACGAGGCACUACGGUGCUGAAGCAACAAAUGCCCUGCUUCCAGGAAAAGCCUCUAAGCAUCAGGUAACAUCAAAUCGUACCCCAAACCGACACAGGUGGUCAGGUAGAGAAUACCAAGGCGCUUGAGAGAACUCGGGUGAAGGAACUAGGCAAAAUGGUGCCGUAACUUCGGGAGAAGGCACGCUGACACGUAGGUGAAGUGAUUUACUCA